RNAcentral lists this transfer RNA (64 nucleotides) under Ictidomys tridecemlineatus (thirteen-lined ground squirrel). Its description in RNAcentral is "Spermophilus tridecemlineatus (thirteen-lined ground squirrel) tRNA". It matches the Rfam family "tRNA". Rfam says of the family: Transfer RNA (tRNA) molecules are approximately 80 nucleotides in length. Their secondary structure includes four short double-helical elements and three loops (D, anti-codon, and T loops). The record is from Rfam by way of RNAcentral. Lineage: Eukaryota; Metazoa; Chordata; Mammalia; Rodentia; Sciuridae.
GGUAGCUCAGUGCUAGAGCACUUGCCUAGCAUGCAUGAGGCACUGGGUUCAAUCCCCAGUACCA